Molecule: ribosomal RNA, 862 nt
Filed under: uncultured organism
Description: bacterial SSU rRNA
Rfam family: Bacterial small subunit ribosomal RNA
Source: RNAcentral
UAGAGUUUGAUCCUGGCUCAGGAUGAACGCUGGCGGUCUGCUUAACACAUGCAAGUCGAACGGGCUCUUCGGAGCUAGUGGCGGACGGGUGAGUAACGCGUGAGAAUCUGCCUUCAGGAGGGGGAUAACGACUGGAAACGGUCGCUAAUACCCCAUAUGCCUCCGGGUGAAAAGUAAUUCGCCUGAAGAUGAGCUCGCGUCAGAUUAGCUAGUUGGUGGGGUAAGAGCCUACCAAGGCGACGAUCUGUAGCUGGUCUGAGAGGAUGAUCAGCCACACUGGGACUGAGACACGGCCCAGACUCCUACGGGAGGCAGCAGUGGGGAAUUUUCCGCAAUGGGCGCAAGCCUGACGGAGCAAGACCGCGUGGGGGAUGACGGCCUAAUGGUUGUAAACCCCUUUUCUCUGGGAAGAAGACUGACGGUACCAGAGGAAUCAGCCUCGGCUAACUCCGUGCCAGCAGCCGCGGUAAUACGGAGGAGGCAAGCGUUAUCCGGAAUUAUUGGGCGUAAAGCGUCCGUAGGUGGUUAUUCAAGUCUGCUGUCAAAGCGUGGGGCUUAACUCCAUAGAGGCAGUGGAAACUGAGUGACUAGAGUGCGGUAGGGGUCGAGGGAAUUCCCAGUGUAGCGGUGAAAUGCGUAGAUAUUGGGAAGAACACCAGUGGCGAAAGCGCUCGACUGGGCCUGCACUGACACUGAGGGACGAAAGCUAGGGGAGCGAAAGGGAUUAGAUACCCCUGUAGUCCUAGCCGUAAACGAUGGAUACUAUGUGUUGCUCGUCAUCGACCCGAGCAGUGCCGUAGCCAACGCGUUAAGUAUCCCGCCUGGGGAGUACGCUCGCAAGAGUGAAACUCAAAGGAAUUGA